This 732-nucleotide ribosomal RNA is filed under the name uncultured bacterium. RNAcentral's name for it is "bacterial SSU rRNA". It matches the Rfam family "Bacterial small subunit ribosomal RNA", at positions 771 to 1501 of the family's 1533-position model. The record is from RNAcentral.
AACAGGAUUAGAUACCCUGGUAGUCCACGCCGUAAACGAUGAGUGCUAAGUGUUAGAGGGUUUCCGCCCUUUAGUGCUGCAGCAAACGCAUUAAGCACUCCGCCUGGGGAGUACGGCCGCAAGGCUGAAACUCAAAGAAAUUGACGGGGGCCCGCACAAGCGGUGGAGCAUGUGGUUUAAUUCGAAGCAACGCGAAGAACCUUACCAGGUCUUGACAUCUCCUGACAACCCUAGAGAUAGGGCGUUCCCCUUCGGGGGACAGGAUGACAGGUGGUGCAUGGUUGUCGUCAGCUCGUGUCGUGAGAUGUUGGGUUAAGUCCCGCAACGAGCGCAACCCUUGAUCUUAGUUGCCAGCAUUCAGUUGGGCACUCUAAGGUGACUGCCGGUGACAAACCGGAGGAAGGUGGGGAUGACGUCAAAUCAUCAUGCCCCUUAUGACCUGGGCUACACACGUGCUACAAUGGAUGGUACAAAGGGCUGCGAGACCGCGAGGUUAAGCGAAUCCCAUAAAACCAUUCUCAGUUCGGAUUGCAGGCUGCAACUCGCCUGCAUGAAGCCGGAAUCGCUAGUAAUCGCGGAUCAGCAUGCCGCAGUGAAUACGUUCCCGGGCCUUGUACACACCGCCCGUCACACCACGAGAGUUUGUAACACCCGAAGUCGGUGGGGUAACCUUUUGGAGCCAGCCGCCUAAGGUGGGACAGAUGAUUGGGGUGAAGUCGUAACAAGGUAACC